This 403-nucleotide ribosomal RNA is filed under the name uncultured bacterium. RNAcentral describes it as "bacterial SSU rRNA". It matches the Rfam family "Bacterial small subunit ribosomal RNA", at positions 355 to 775 of the family's 1533-position model. The record is from RNAcentral.
UAGGGAAUAUUAGUAAUGGGCGCAAGCCUGAACUAGCAACGCCGCGUGUGCGAAGAAGGCCUUCGGGUUGUAAAGCACUUUUUGAGAGGAUGAGGAAGGACGGUACUCUCAGAAUAAGUCUCGGCUAACUACGUGCCAGCAGCCGCGGUAACACGUAGGAGGCGAACGUUAUCCGGAUUUACUGGGCGUAAAGCGCGUGUAGGUGGUUUGGUAAGUAGGGCGUGAAAGCUCCUGGCUCAACUGGGAGAGGCCGUUCUAAACUGCCGAACUAGAGGAUGGUAGAGGGGGGUGGGAUUCCGGGUGUAGCGGUGGAAUGCGCAGAUAUCCGGAGGAACACCAGUGGCGAAAGCGGCCUCCUGGACCAUUCCUGACACUCAGACGCGAAAGCUAGGGUAGCAAACGG